AUUUAUUAUUUUAGAAUGAAUUAGCUCCACACUUCGCUCAGGCGAGCGCUAAUGCUUCAGGCGAUGGAGGACAUUUUCGCCUUAAGGGCGCCUAGUGCUUUUGACAUCACUAUUUAGAGAGCAUAUUGAGCUCUGCAUCCUUAAAAUUUAAGUUCUAAUAAUCCAAGCAAUAGUGCUUGGAGACUAAGGCAGGUAAACAGGGACACUCCUGCCAUACCCUAAGUGCUGAGUUGGACUAAUCGAGAAUUCAGAGUGGGUGAUGUGUUAAGUUUGAAUGCCUUUAAUGAUGAUCUUCUUUUCUGUUGCAGGUUUUGUUUAAAGAUGGUGUUUUCCAGUGGAAACGGCUUGAAAACCUUAUUGUUCUUGCAAAGGAGAAUGUAGCUAGGAUGAGCAGCAACCCUGCAUUGCAAG
RNAcentral lists this unclassified non-coding RNA (411 nucleotides) under Hevea brasiliensis (rubber tree). The record is from RNAcentral. Lineage: Eukaryota; Viridiplantae; Streptophyta; Magnoliopsida; Malpighiales; Euphorbiaceae.